UGGCCUCAUGCAAGUCGGCACCUGUGCCGGCGACACUUUCGAAUUGACGGGGACCCCCUAAAGCCCUUCCCACCAACCCAGCCAGGGAAACCUGCUGGCGGCCUGUCCUAACGUACAGGGUAUGGUAACAGAGGAAGGGAUGAGCCAGGCAGCCUUACGGCCGCUGGUGAAAUGGGCAAUCCGCAGCGAAGCCCCUACCGCACCUGGCUGGCAAAGCCAGGCGCCACGGGGAACGUUCACAGACUAAGUGGAAGUGGGUGGGACACCGCGUCCUGCUUAAGAUAUAGUCGGGCCCCUGGGGAGACCCAGGGAGGCAUAAAACCGUUCCGUAGGUGAACCUUCGGAAGGAUCAUUACAGUUUUGUUUUGGGCGGUCCGGCCCGCGCAAGCAACCGGCCGCUGCAAACAUUUCUACCCUUGAAUUUGAGCACCUUCGUUUCCUCGGCGGGUCCGCCCGCCAGCAGAGGACCCCAUUGAACUCUUUGUAGUAGCAGUCUUUGUCUGAAACAUAAAGCAAUAAUCAAAACUUUCAACAAUGGAUCUCUUGGUUCUGGCAUCGAUGAAGAACGCAGCGAAAUGCGAUAAGUAGUGUGAAUUGCAGAAUUCAGUGAAUCAUCGAAUCUUUGAACGCACAUUGCGCCCCUCGGUAUUCCGUGGGGCAUGCCUGUUCGAGCGUCAUUUAAACCCUCAAGCACAGCUUGGUGUUGGGUGCUUGUCCCGCCUCCGCGCGGCGACUCACCUCAAAGUCAUUGGCAGCCCGCAUCCGCCGGCCGUGAGCGCAGCACAGUCGCGCCCUAGGUCCCGGCAGGUCGGCUCUCCAGAAGCACUUCUUCCACCAUUGACCUCGGAUCAGGUAGGGAUACCCGCUGAACUUAAGCAUAUCAAUAAGCGGAGGAAAAGAAACCAACAGGGAUUGCCUCAGUAACGGCGAGUGAAGCGGCAACAGCUCAAAUUUGAAAUCUGGCCCUUUCAGGGUCCGAGUUGUAAUUUGUAGAGGGUGCUUUGGCGUUGGCCGUGGUCUAAGUUCCUUGGAACAGGACGUCACAGAGGGUGAGAAUCCCGUACGUGGCCGCCGGUCUUCGCCGUGUAAAGCCCCUUCGACGAGUCGAGUUGUUUGGGAAUGCAGCUCUAAAUGGGAGAUACAUUUCUUCUAAAGCUAAAUAUUGGCCAGAGACCGAUAGCGCACAAGUAGAGUGAUCGAAAGAUGAAAAGCACUUUGGAAAGAGAGUCAAAAAGCACGUGAAAUUGUUGAAAGGGAAGCGCUUGCAGCCAGACGUGCCCGCAGUUGCUCACCUAGGCUCUUGCCUGGGGCAUUCUUCUGCGGGCAGGCCAGCAUCAGUCCGGGCGGUUGGAUAAAGGCCUCUAUCACGUACCACCUUUCGGGGUGUCCUUAUAGGGGAGGCGCAACACGGCCAGCCUGGA
This 1421-nucleotide ribosomal RNA is filed under the name Pleosporales sp. B1A020A2SNA2CC974. RNAcentral describes it as "eukaryotic LSU rRNA". The stretch from base 839 to 1421 matches the Rfam family "Eukaryotic large subunit ribosomal RNA", at positions 1 to 588 of the family's 3401-position model. The record is from RNAcentral. Lineage: Eukaryota; Fungi; Ascomycota; Dothideomycetes; Pleosporales.